This 492-nucleotide ribosomal RNA is filed under the name uncultured bacterium. RNAcentral describes it as "bacterial SSU rRNA". It matches the Rfam family "Bacterial small subunit ribosomal RNA", at positions 28 to 517 of the family's 1533-position model. The record is from RNAcentral.
GACGAACGCUGGCGGCGUGCUUAACACAUGCAAGUCGAACGGUAACAGGCCCUUCGGGUGCUGACGAGUGGCGGAUGGGUGAGUAAUACUUAGGAAUCUACCCUGUAGUGGGGACAACCCGGGGAAACUCGGGCUAAUACCGCAUACGCUCUACGGAGGAAAGCGGGGACCGCAAGGCCUCGCGCUAUUGGAUGAGCCUAAGCCCGAUUAGCUAGUUGGUGGGGUAAUAGCCUACCAAGGCAAUGAUCGGUAGCUGGUCUGAGAGGACGACCAGCCACACUGGGACUGAGACACGGCCCAGACUCCUACGGGAGGCAGCAGUGGGGAAUAUUGGACAAUGGGCGAAAGCCUGAUCCAGCGAUGCCGCGUGUGUGAAGAAGGCCUGCGGGUUGUAAAAGCACUUUCAGUAGGGAAGAAAUGCUUGGAGCUAACACCGCCAAGUUUUGUACGUUACUACAGAAGAAGCACCGGCUAACUCCGUGCCAGCAGCCG